Molecule: long non-coding RNA, 10113 nt
Filed under: Octopus vulgaris (common octopus)
Lineage: Eukaryota; Metazoa; Mollusca; Cephalopoda; Octopoda; Octopodidae
Source: RNAcentral
GCCAAGAAAUUGUUUCAACUUAUAUAUAUUUUUUCCUCAGUUUGUUACUUUAUAUAUAUAUGUAUAUAUAAAUAUAUAUAACUAUACACAUAUAUAUCCUUUUCUACAAUAGGCACAAGGGCAAAAAACUUGUGAGUGUAGAUUAGUUAAUUAUAUCGACGCGAUUGCUCAAGUGGUAUUUAUUUUAUCAACCCUGAAAGGAUGAAAGAUAAAGUCAACCUUGGUUGAAUUUGAACUCAGAAAGUAAAUCUAGAAGAAAAUCCACCAAGUAUUUUGCCCAGCAUGUUAAUGACUCUGCCAUUUCACCACUUUACACACACACAUAUAUAUAUAUAUAUAUAUAUAUAUAAAAGUAUAUAUAUAACAAUUUUAUUUGGGUGUUAACCCUGGAGUUUAACUUACUAAGCUCAUCCAUGUGCCCAGGCUAUCAGACAGAUAGUAAUCCGGAGAUUGUGUUUUCAAACAUAUGCUUAAAACUAACAAACAUGGCUAUUAUACUUUACAUUGUCGAGCGAUUACUGUUUACAUCUCGUUCUGAGAUUUAAUAAUGCUUACAGACAGUUUUUCAAAAUCAGUGGCAGAAGUCACUAGAAAAACUCUUAUAUAUUUGCAAACAGGCUUUUUCUUUCAUCAUGAUCCGGUGAUUACCGCCCGUUGAUCAGUGGCAAUAACCUCGAAACUGCAGUCUGGUGCAUAUCACUUAGGCUUACGAGAAAGGGAUGGCCUCCCUUUGCAAAUACCAUAAGGGCACAGAUAGUGUGCCUAAAGCCAGCUGGAGAUGAUGAUCUCCUGGAGCUAAAAAGCUACAGUAACACCCACCCUUAGUGGUUAGCCAUAUUGAGAUGGCUAUUAUACUUUACAUUAACAAAUAUCUGUUUAAAAAAUUUUUUUUAAAUUUACAAUUAUAAACAAGAAGAGUGGAGUGAACAAGUCCUUUUAUUAUAUCAAUUUACAAUUGUUUAUCUGAAUUCAAUCUGAUGAAUAUUGCUAUGAAUAUUCAUUCACAGGGUAUAAUUGGCACAUAUCAAAUCCAACUCUUCAGAAAAUUAUGUCUAAUGUUAUUUGCUGUAAACACAGAAAGUAUCUUUAUUAUCGUGUAACAUAGCAAUAUUCAUGAGACUGAAUUCAAUGAUAAGUUAUUCACAGGAAAAUUAGAUUAUUUUUAAGGUACAUCAGAAUAUAGUUAUUCCAAAAGCAGCAAAAAGAUGAAGCAGUCAUGAAAACAGCUAAAAAAAUAUAGUUGAUAAACCCUACAUAUAUUUUUGUUGUUAAAAUGCAGACUGGUGGCAUAGAUAUAUAUAUAUAAAAGCUAUUUAUUCACAGACAAUAAUGUUAAGAUAACAUCAAUAAUAAUAUUAAUGGUUUCUGAUUUGUAAACAAGGCAAGCCUUUUAGAGUUGAGAGGAAGUAGCCAAUGCCAUCAGCCUUAGAAUUUGACUGGCAAUUUAAUUUAUUACCUGGUAGCACGUAAAAAGCACCAUCCGAUCAUGGCCAUUGCCAGCCUCGCCUGGCCCCCGUGCCGGUGGCACGUAAAAAGCACCAUCCGAUCGUGGCCAUUGCCAGCCUCGCCUGGCCCCCAUGCCGGUGGCAUGUAAAAAGCACCAUCCGAUCGUGGCUGUUUGCCAGCAUCACCUGGCCCCCAUGCUGGUGGCACGUAAAAAGCACCAUCCAAUCGUGGCUGUUUGCCAGCAUCACCUGGCCCCCAUGCUGGUGGCACGUAAAAAGCACCAUCCAAUCGUGGCUGUUUGCCAGCAUCACCUGGCCCCCAUGCCGGUGGCACGUAAAAAGCACCAUCCAAUCGUGGCCGUUUGCCAGCAUCACCUGGCCCCCAUGCCGGUGGCACGUAAAAAGCACCAUCCGAUCGUGGCCGUUUGCCAACCUCGCCUGGUCCCCAUGCCGGUGGCACGUAAAAAGCACCAUCCUAUCGUGGCCGUUUGCCAGCCACGUCUGGCACCUGUGCCGGUGGCACGUAAAAGCACCUGCUACACUCACGGAGUGGUUGGCGUUAGGAAGGGCAUCCAGUCGUAGAAACAUUGCCAGAUCAGACUGGAGCCUGGUGCAGCCUUCUGGCUUCCCAGACCCCAGUUGAACCGUCCAACCCAUGCUAGCAUGGAAAGCGGACGCUAAACGAUGAUGAUGAUGAAGGGAUGAAAAGCAAAGUUGACCUCAGUGGUAUUUGAAUUCAAAAUGUAAAGAGAUGGAUGUAACAACAACAACAACAACAACAACGAGUAUGAUAAUAUCAAUCCUUUCUUGUAUAGGCACAAGGCCUGAAAUAAGAUCAACUUCAGUACUUGAAUGGUACUUAAUUUAUCGACCCUGAAAGGAUGAAAGGCAAAGUCGAUUUCAGUGGAAUUUUGACUCAGGAUGUAAAGAUGGAUAAAAUGCUGCUUAGCAUUUUGUCUGGUGUGUUAAUGAUUCUGCCAGCUUGCUACUUUAGAAAUAAUGAUAAUUCUUCCUUAUUUUCGCAUAAGAGCAGCAGUUUUGAGGGGAGGGGGUCGAGUCAUUUACAUUGAUUGGUACUUGUUUCAUUGAUCCCAGUUAAGUCAAUCUUGGCAUAAUCUAAACUCAGCAUAUAAAGAGCCAGAAGAAAUGUUGGUAAGUCCUAAACACUAACAUUUUUGCCAAUUGAUAAUAAUAAUAAUAAUAACAAUAACAAUAAUAAUAAUAAUAAUAAUGAUAAUAAUCCUUUCUACUAAAGGCACAAAGCCUAAAAUUGGGAGUGGACUAGUCAAGUACAUCGACCUCAGUAUUCCACUGGUACUUAAGUUAUCAACCCCAAAAGGAUGAAAGGCAAAGUCAACCUUGGUGGAAUUUCAGCUCAGAACGUAAGGACAGGUGAAAUGCCACCAAGCAUUUUGUCUGGCUAAUAAUAAUAAUAAUAAUAAUAGUAAUAAUAAUAAUAAUAAUAAUAAUAAUAAUAAUAAUAAUAAUGGGACUAAUAAUAAUAAUAAUAAUAAUAAUAAUAAUAAUAAUAAUAAUAAUAAUAAUAAUAAUAAUAAUAAUAAUAAUAAUAAUAAUAAUAAUAAUAAUAAUGGGACUAAUCGAUUACAUUGACCACAGUACUCGGUAUAUAUUUUAUCAACUCCAAAAGAGUGAAGAGCAAAGCCGACCUCAGCAGAAUUUGAACUCAGGAUGUGAUGACAGACGAAAUACUGCCAAGCAUUUCACCCAGUAUGCUAACAAUUCUGCCAGCUCAAUGCUUUAAUAAUAAUAAUAAUAAUAAUAAUAAUAAUCCUUUCUACUAAAAGCACAAGCCCUGAGAUUUGGGGGCAGGAGAUAGUCAGUCAAUUAUAUUGACCCCCAAUAUUCAAAUGGUACCCCUAUUGAUCCUGGUAUGUCGAUGAUCCCAGAUGGUUGAAAAGAAGGGGACCAGAAUUCUGUGAGGGUCUAGUACAUCUCAAUUGAAUUCCAUUUAUAUGAUUAAUACAUAGUUUAUUGAACUUAAAGGGGAAAAGUCAAGACAGACAAUCUUUGAGCUUUGUGCACUUACAGUAUUUAAUCUUGCUUUAGCACUGCAAGUCCGAAAUUUCCACGUGAAAUGACACAAAAUGGGAAUUAAAACCAUGUAACUAGAUCAAUUAUGAUGAGAUUAAGUCUUGAUGUAUUUUGACCCAAACAGGAAAAAAUUUUAAUCCAAAAUCCAAAUCAAAAUCAAUCAACAUCAAUGGAAAUUGCAGCUGUGAUACCAGUGCCGGAGGUAUGUAAGAGAACCAUCCAAACGUGGCCGUUGCCAGCGCCGCCCUGACCGGCCUCGUGCUGGUGGCACGUAAAAAGCACCAUCCGAUCGUGGCCGUUGCCAGCCUCACCUGGCCCCCGUGCCAGUGGCACGUAAAAAGCGCCAAUUCGAUUGUGGAUGUUUGCCAGCCUCGUCUGGCACGUAAAACGCACCCACUACACUCACGGAGUGGUUGGCGUUAGGAAGGGCAUCCAGCCGUAGAAACAUUGCCAGAUCAGACUGGAGCCUGGUGCAGCCUUCUGGCUUCCCAGACCCCAGUUGAACCGUCCAACCCAUGCUAGCAUGAAAAGCGGACGCUAAACGAUGAUGAUGAUGAUGAUGAUUAGGUGUGGUUGAUUUAAAACCCCUUUCAGUAUAUCGUUUUCUUUUUAAGCUCUAGGACUCAUUAAGGCCAGUUAACUGAUUUCCAUGACAUGUAAGUGAUCAAAUUCAUGACAUUACCCCUGGAUGGUACACCAGCCCAAUGCAGCGCUCAAGGCCAACAGUUUUGAGGUGAUGCCAGCAAGUCGACUACACAGACCCCCUAGUACUUGACUGGUACUUUAUUUUAUCAACCCUGAGAAGAUGAGUUCAAAUUUCAUCAAGUUGACCUCGGUGGGAUUUGAACUUAGAACAUAAAGAGUCAGAAGAAAUGCCACUAAGAAUUUUGUCCAAUGUGCUAACAAUUUUGCCAUUAUGUAAGUAAAUAUGGGUUUCAAAUUUUAGCACAAGGCCAGCAAUUUCAGUGGAUGGGAGUAAGUCUGUUACAUUAACCCGUGUUCAAUUGGGACUUAUUUUAUCGACCCUGAAAGAAUGAAAGUGAAAGUUGACCUCAAUGGAAUUUGAACUCAAAAUGUCAAGUGGGAAGAAAUGUCACUAAGUAUUUUGACCAAUGCGCUACUAAUUCAUAUUUCUUUAUUACCCACAAGGGGCUAAACACAGAGGGGACAAACAAGGACAUACAUAGGUAUUAAGUCGAUUACAUCGACCCCAGUGCGUAACUGGUACUUAAUUUAUCGACCCCGAAAGGAUGAAAGGCAAAGUCGACCUCGGCGGAAUUUGAACUCACAAUAUAACGCAGACAAAAUACCGCUAAGCAUUUCGCCCAGCGUGCUAACGUUUCUGCCAGCUCGCCGCCUAAUUCAGCCAACCUAUCAUCCUUUUCAGUAUACUGUCUGUACUUAAUUCUUGAGCACUGACAGGAUUUGAGUAGAGAAAGUAGAAAGAAGAAACUAAAUACUCUUUUAUUUGUUCCAGUUAUUUGACUGUGGCCAUGCUGGAGCACCACCUUUAGUCAAGCAAAUCGACCCCAGGACUUAUUCUUUGUAAGCCUAGUACUUAUUCUAUCGGUCUGUUUUGCCGAACCACUAAGUUACGGGGACGUAAACACACCGGCAUCGGUUGUCAAGCGAUGUUGGGGGGACAAACACAGACACACAAACAUAUACACACAUGCGCACAUAUAUAUAUAUAUACUUUAUUUAAAAGCAGCAGAAAUUUAGCAAAAGCUGUUACUCAGAGUUUCACGUUCCCAUUCGUCAGACAGUUUUGUUAAUAUCUUUUGUUAAAUUUCUGCUGCUUUUAAAUAAAGCAUAUUACUCAACCUCUGGUAUUUGAGUACUCUUUUUUCCCCACCUUGUUUCACAUUUAUGUGCUUACUCCGGUAUAUAUUUAUAUAUAUAUAUAUAUAUAUAUAUACGAUGGGCUUCUUUCAGUUUCUGUCUACCAAAUCCACUUACAAGGCUUUGGUUGGCCUGAGGCUAUAGUAGAAGAUACUUGUCCAAGGUGCCACACAGUGGGACUGAACCCAGAACCAUGUGGUUGGUAAGCAAGCUACUUACCACACAGCCACUAGUAUUUGUUAAUUUGGUGCUCUGCCAUUCCUACCAACACAUUACUUUGGUUGCCACUUGCUUCCAGUGGCAGAACCGUUAGCACACUGGGCUAAAUGCUUAGUGGCAUUUCAUCCCUCUUUGCAUUCUGAGUUCAAAUUCUGGUGAGGUUAACUUUGCCUUUCUUCCUUUCAGGGUCAAUAAAACAAGUACCAGUUGAACACUGGGCUCAAUGUAAUCGAAUUACCCCCAUCCCCACCCCCACCUCCCCAAAUUUGCUGGCCUCGUGCCAAAAUUUGGAAACCAAUAUUUUUUAUUUGCAUUUAAGUAAGAAAUAAUUAUUCCAAGAAAGGUGCCUGCUGCCAGUGUAGAGAUGAAUAAUAGAGAGAGAGAGAGAGAGAGAGAGAGAGAGUAAGGUAUAUGUACAAAGUAUGAUUAGAAAGUAAGAAAUUUGGAAUAAAGAAAAUAUACUAUUUCAUGGGCAAUUUCAGAGACAGAGAAAGAUAAAAGAGCUUAACCCUUUAGUAUUUAAACCGGCCAUAUCCGGCCAAAAUAUUUAAUCAGUUUUAUGUUCAAACUGACCAGAUCCAGGCUCUCACACCUACCCUACAAUGCUAUUAUACAUUAAGUAAUUACACCAUCAAGAUCUUGAAGAUAUGAGAUAAUGUAUGAUUAAUUCAAAUCAAUGUGAAUCAAUAAGCAUUACGUUUGAUAGAAUAAUCUGAACACUAAAGGGUUAAUAUGAAUAAGUCCUGGAAAUGUCUAUGCAAAGGCAAUUUGAAGAGGAAACGGAGAACAAGUUAGAAGCUGCCAAAGAUCGAGUAAGUAUUCAACAAAAGUACUUUCAGCAAUAUUAAUAGAAAUGCUGAAGAUACUCAAUAACCGUAUUACUAUAAUUUUAAUGAAAUACUAUAAUUUUAAUGGAAUUUUAAUGAAAUGCCUGUGUGGUUCAAUUAAUUUUGAAAACAAUAACAAUUUGAAGGGGUUUAGUAAAAUAUUUAAAAUUUCUUUUAUUAAUCUGUUUCUUGGAAUAUAACAAUAUAAAAUUACGAUUAAAGAUUAUAAAUCAAAUAUUAUCAUUUUAAAAAUGUGGGACAUUAUGUCAUAGACCUGCAGGCACUCAUGGAGGGGUUAGUUUCAAAAGGGCUUAAAAUAAAAGAAAUAGGGGAUGGUAGGGAACAAAGCAUGAGAAAAGAUGUGAGCUGGGCCAUCACAAGAGAAAAGGUUUUAGUGAUGUACUAUCUAAAUAUACAUUAAAAAAAAUCCAUUGUGUCGCAGUGUCUUGUAAAACUUUGAGCAUUGAAAAUAGAGGUUGAAUCUAUGAGACAGGAAAAAUUAACCGAGAAGUGUUAUGUAACUUGCAGUACAGUUCUACACAGUUACAUGGUCUAUAGUUUUACUAUAGCAGUGCUUUUCAAACAUUUUGCUGGAGCGGAACCCCAAGGAAACAUUCCACUGGCUCGAGGAACCCCUGUGCAAUAAUUUAAUAGUCUUAUGCACACAUCUGCACAGGAGAAUUAAAAAUUACUGCCGAUUUUAGCAGUUUUGUAACUUCUUGUGGAACCCUUGGACUGUAUUGGCAGAACCCUAAGGUCCCGCGGACCCUGGUUGAAAACCACUGUACUAUAGAGUAAGUACAUAGAUACAAGAAAUAGUAGGUAAAUUUCCCUUAGAUUAUGUCCUAUCAUCUUAAACAACAAAACACAUUUCAAUAGAUCACCAUGUCUGAAUUGAAAAAAAAAAAAGAAACAAUUAAGACAGGAUGGUCAUGACCAGAAUGCUUUUGCUCAUAAUAUGUGCUCUGUCAGGGUUAACCUGGAGUUAAACAACAAAAACAUUUUAAGUGUACAACUAUGUAGUAUAGUCAUAUCAUAUGAUAUUGCUACACAGCUUUAUAGAACACUGGAGGUAUGCAGUUAUAAAACUGGAGGUAUGCAGUUAUAAAAUAUAUAAUCUAUAAUGUCAUAUAGUAUAAGUACAAUAUUAUAUACAGUAUAGAUGUACACUACAUUUUUAGUAGAGCACUGAUGUAUAGGUAUACAGCAAUAGUAUACAGUACAUUUAUAGGUGUGUAUAAUACAUAUAUAUAAGUGCCCAGUAGUACUGGAAGAUACGUUUAUAGUAAUGCAAUGAUGUACAUAGUAUAUUUAUACAACAUUAGUAUAGAAUACAGUACACCUAUAGUUCAAUGAUACCGUAUGAUAUAUUUAUAGUAUUAAUGCAUUUAUAAUAGAGCAGUACUGUAUAGUACAUAGUGAGAAAGGCAGAAAGAAAGAAAAAGAAAGAAAGAAAGAGAGAGAGAGUAAGUGAGAAAAAAAGCAUUGUAUCAUCAAGAGAUACCUUUAACUCAUCAUAUAUAAACACACUUAGUCAUUCUUGUAGUAUUUGUAAUAAUGCAACACAAAGUGAUUUAUACAGAAUUUACAGGAGAGAAAUGGUGCAUAGUACAUUUAUAAUGUACAGCAACAGUACAAUGUAGCACAUUUAUAGUACAUUAAUAGAGUAUAAUACAUUUACAGAACAGCAAUGAGUACAUUUUUAUAUAUACAGCAAUGUUGUAUAUUACAUUUAUAGAACAGCAAUAGAACACCAGAAUUCAUUGCUGAAAUACAGAAGAUCAUCAAUAACAAUCCCAGCAAGUUGAUGCAUGCCAUUGCAUGAGAGAAAUAUGUGGAAGACAAGCUCAAAUGUCUGGUGAUGCAUGAAGACAUUCACUACUUCUCAUUCAAGAUGAGGAAGGGACAAUUUCUGCCCAACACAAUGCAAAAAAAGUGACUCCAGCACACCAAGAAGCUGACCAAAAAGUUGAAACCGCUGGAGCUAGACAGGCUGCAGUUUUUCUCCAAUAAGAAGAAUUUCUACCAAGAUCAGAUCAACUCCCAGAACAACAUGUGGCUUGCUGUCUCACCCAAGGACAUGCCCAGAGUCACACAGAUGAAAUUUUCAGUGACUACCAUGAUCUUCGGUGUUGCUCCAUUUCUUCUCUCAGAGCAUCAGGCUGAAUACUGAAGCUACAGCCUUCUUCUGUGUAAGGUGGUGAAGCCAUGGAGUGACUGGUAGUUGCAGGGAGGCUGUAUAUGUAGCAGCAAGAUUCUGCACUGAUACACCAACCAAAAGAUUCAGGCCUGGCUGUUGGAAAAUCGCUUUAACCCUUUAGCAUUUAAACCGGCCAUAUCCAGCCAAAAGUAUUCUGCCUGUUUUAUGUUCAAACUGGCCAGAUCUGGUCUCUCACACCAACCCUACAAUAUCGUUUUAAAAAUUAACAGCUACCUCAUCAAAAUCUCAUAGCUACAAGAUAAUGCAAGAUAAGUUCAAAACAAAGUGGAAGAAAAAGCAUUAAUUUUGGUAGAAUAAUGCAAACACUAAAGGGUUAAUCACACAGCACCUGACAUUUGGCCACCCAGCUUGCCUUUGGACUGCAACUCCCUUGACUCCUUUGCUUGGGGCACAGUGGAAUGAGAGACCAACAAAUCUAGCUGCAACAUGAAGGAUGAACUGAGGGCUGGGAUUACCAGGACCUUCAGGGGCCUAAAAUAGGAGAUAGUGACAAAGGCCUUUGGCUGGUUACGAGGUCACCUGGAGGUUUUCAUCGAAACCAAAGGCAGAUUCACCAAGUGAGAUGGACAUAACAGGUCAUGGAGACAAACUGACCGAUAUUUGAUGACUAUAUCUCAGAAAAUAAAAACACUUUUAUUUUAUUCCUGAGAUAGUCAUUAUGCAAAGGAACACAGCCCACACCCUGUAUAGCACAUUUAUAGCACAGCAAUAGCUCAGAGUACAUUUUUAGGUGAACAGCAAUGACAUAUAGUACCUUUAUAAUCUAUAAUUAUAUAUAUAUAUAAAGCUGAAGUUGUCUGUGUAUGGCAGGUUUGGUAGCCUUCAACUAACACUAUCUUCUCCGAGACCCUUCGGCGCUAGUUGACCAAAAUUGAGAGUAUGAUAGAAGAAGGCUUGCUCUUCAUUCUGCAGAAAAUAAAAUUCAAAUCAGACCAUGUUAAGACCAAAAAUUAUUUACAUAAAAAAGGUUCUUUUUUUCUAUGAAAAUCCCUAUUCUUUACGAUUUUUUGACUGCUGUGUCGCCAUUUUUUGGUGUAUUUCAACCAGAAAAAUGUUCACUUAAAGAGAAUAACAAGCUACAUAAUGCAAAAUUUUUACUUUUCAAAAAUUCCAAUUCUAAAGGGUCGAAACAAGCCUGAGCAACGCCGGGCGAUACUGCUAGUAUAUGAUACAUUUAAAAGUGUGUAAUAAUACACAAAGCGGAAUCUUCUGCAAUGCAGCAUCAAACCUUUUGCCAUUGUUACUCAUCAUCUUUUUGUGAGAUUCAACAUCAUAUCAGUUUUCACCAUUUCUCUAGUCUUCCAUCUUUCUCUUCAGCACACAUACGCUUAUAUACAUACAUAUAUAUAUUUAUAUAUAUAUACACUUAUGAGCAUAUACAAAUGUAAAAAUAUUCAGUUGAAUUUAUACAUACAUAAAGCAAUUACAUAUGCAAGCAUGUUUGUGUGUGUUUAUACAUACAUAUAUAUAUAUAUAUACAUACAUAUAUACAUACAUAUAUAUAUAC